GAUGAACGCUAGCGGGAGGCUUAAUACAUGCAAGUCGAGCGGCAAGGUCUUCGGACCCUAGAGCGGCGCACGGGUGAGUAACGCGUACGCAAUCUGCCCUUCAGUGAGGAAUAGCCCUGGGAAACUGGGAUUAAUACCUCAUAACAUUAUCUGUUCGCAUGGAGAGAUAAUUAAAGUUCUGGCGCUGAAGGAUGAGCGUGCGUCUGAUUAGCUUGUUGGUAGGGUAACGGCCUACCAAGGCUACGAUCAGUAGGGGGCGUGAGAGCGUGACCCCCCACACGGGUACUGAGACACGGACCCGACUCCUACGGGAGGCAGCAGUAAGGAAUAUUGGGCAAUGGAGGCAACUCUGACCCAGCCAUCCCGCGUGAAGGAUUAAGGCCCUAUGGGUUGUAAACUUCUUUUGCUUGGGAAGAAAUCUGGACAUUUAUGUGCAGUUGACGGUACCUUGCGAAUAAGCACCGGCUAACUCCGUGCCAGCAGCCGCGGUAAUACGGAGGGUGCAAGCGUUAUCCGGAAUCACUGGGUUUAAAGGGUGCGUAGGCGGUUUGAUAAGUCAGAGGUGAAAGCUAGCAGCUUAACUGUUAAAUUGCCUUUGAUACUGUCAGACUUGAAUCAGGUUGAGGUAGGCGGAAUGUGACAUGUAGCGGUGAAAUGCAUAGAUAUGUCAUAGAACACCAAUUGCGUAGGCAGCUUGCUGGGCUUGAAUUGACGCUGAGGCACGAAAGCGUGGGGAUCAAACAGGAUUAGAUACCCUGGUAGUCCACGCCCUAAACGAUGUUAACUCGAUAUUUAUUCUUCGGAGUGAGUGUCCAAGCGAAAGCGUUAAGUUAACCACCUGGGGAGUACGUUCGCAAGAAUG
Molecule: ribosomal RNA, 862 nt
Filed under: uncultured bacterium
Lineage: Bacteria
Description: bacterial SSU rRNA
Rfam family: Bacterial small subunit ribosomal RNA
Source: RNAcentral